GCUACCAUGCAGUCGAGCGAGAACCGGGGCUUCGGCCCCGGGGACAGCGGCGAACGGGUGAGUAACACGUGGAUAACCUGCCCUCGGCACCGGGAUAGCCCGGGGAAACUCGGAUUAAUACCGGAUGGCCCUUCCGACCUUCGGGUCGGUCGGGAAAGGUAGCUUCGGCCUCUGGCCGGGGAUGGGUCCGCGGCGGAUUAGCUUGUUGGUGGGGUAACGGCCCACCAAGGCGACGAUCCGUAGCUGGUCUGAGAGGACGAUCAGCCACACUGGGACUGAGACACGGCCCAGACUCCUACGGGAGGCAGCAGUGGGGAAUCUUGCGCAAUGGGCGAAAGCCUGACGCAGCGACGCCGCGUGAGGGAAGACGGCCUUCGGGUUGUAAACCUCUUUCAGGAGGGACGAAGCUACUCGGGUGAAUAGCCCAGAGGGUGACGGUACCUCCAGAAGAAGCCCCGGCUAACUACGUGCCAGCAGCCGCGGUAAUACGUAGGGGGCAAGCGUUGUCCGGAUUUACUGGGCGUAAAGAGCGUGUAGGCGGCCAGACACGUCUGUUGUGAAAACUGGAGGCUCAACCUCCGUACGUCGAGGAAACCGUCUGGCUAGAGUCGGGAAGAUGAUAGUGGAAUUCCUGGUGUAGCGGUGAGAUGCCAGAUAUCAGGAAGAACACCAUGGCGAAGGCACUCUGUGGGACGGUCUGACGCUGAGAGCGAACCGUGGGAGCGAACACGAUUAGAUACCCUGGUGUCCACGCCGUAACUAUGCUGCUAGUGUGGAGGUUCGACUCUUCCGUGCUACCUACGCAUAGUCACCCGCCGUGAGUCGCCUAUGCUAACUUUAGAUUCACGGGGG
Molecule: ribosomal RNA, 852 nt
Filed under: uncultured Actinomycetes bacterium
Lineage: Bacteria; Bacillati; Actinomycetota; Actinomycetes
Description: bacterial SSU rRNA
Rfam family: Bacterial small subunit ribosomal RNA
Source: RNAcentral